UACGAAGGGGGCUAGCGUUGCUCGGAAUCACUGGGCGUAAAGCGCACGUAGGCGGCUUUUUAAGUCAGAGGUGAAAUCCUGGAGCUCAACUCCAGAACUGCCUUUGAUACUGGAGAGCUUGAGUCCGGGAGAGGUGAGUGGAACUGCGAGUGUAGAGGUGAAAUUCGUAGAUAUUCGCAAGAACACCAGUGGCGAAGGCGGCUCACUGGCCCGGUACUGACGCUGAGGUGCGAAAGCUGGGGGAGCAAACAGG
This 253-nucleotide ribosomal RNA is filed under the name uncultured bacterium. RNAcentral describes it as "partial 16S ribosomal RNA". It matches the Rfam family "Bacterial small subunit ribosomal RNA", at positions 524 to 776 of the family's 1533-position model. The record is from RNAcentral.